AUUGAACGCUGGCGGCAGGCCUAACACAUGCAAGUCGAGCGGAUGAAGGGAGCUUGCUCCUGGAUUCAGCGGCGGACGGGUGAGUAAUGCCUAGGAAUCUGCCGGGUAGUGGGGGAUAACGUCCGGAAACGGGCGCUAAUACCGUAUACGUCCUGAGGGAGAAAGUGGGGGAUCUUCGGACCUCACGCUAUCAGAUGAGCCUAGGUCGGAUUAGCUAGUUGGUGGGGUAAAGGCCUACCAAGGCGACGAUCCGUAACUGGUCUGAGAGGAUGAUCAGUCACACUGGAACUGAGACACGGUCCAGACUCCUACGGGAGGCAGCAGUGGGGAAUAUUGGACAAUGGGCGAAAGCCUGAUCCAGCCAUGCCGCGUGUGUGAAGAAGGUCUUCGGAUUGUAAAGCACUUUAAGUUGGGAGGAAGGGCAGUAAGUUAAUACCUUGCUGUUUUGACGUUACCAACAGAAUAAGCACCGGCUAACUUCGUG
This 484-nucleotide ribosomal RNA is filed under the name uncultured bacterium. RNAcentral describes it as "partial 16S ribosomal RNA". It matches the Rfam family "Bacterial small subunit ribosomal RNA", at positions 30 to 507 of the family's 1533-position model. The record is from RNAcentral.